This 749-nucleotide long non-coding RNA is filed under the name Homo sapiens (human). Its description in RNAcentral is "non-protein coding lnc-ZKSCAN7-4:3". The record is from RNAcentral. Lineage: Eukaryota; Metazoa; Chordata; Mammalia; Primates; Hominidae.
GUCUCUGCUUCUCUCCGGCUCCGGUGCGGCGGGCGGCGGGGCUUGUCCAACAUCCCUCACCUCCCUCAGUUGGACAUUUCCCUUCCACGCUCGGAUGCCCAGCCGCGCCUGUUUUCUUGCAUCCCUCCUGUCGUGUCUGCGGGGCUGCCCUGAAGGCCUCUUUCCCUCCAGGGAAGAAAGGGAUCCAAAGCUAGGGGUGAAAAUAGGGCCAGCAGUAUCUAGCAGACUGGUCCUGGCCAGGAGAAGGGGUUAAGGGAGCCACUCAUUCUUCGCCUGGGUACACUUCAAAGAGGGGAACCAGAUCCUACGGGAAGCUAGGUGCCAGAACUCCUGCCUUUCCAAGACGAGCUCAUCCCCAUCAUCACCAUACCCAGGAAUACUUGUUCAUAGCCAGCUCAGAGGUGCACCAUACUUUAGCUUCCCACGGCCUUCACUCGUUUUCUCCUGUGGGUGAAUUCUAACUAGGCUCGCCUGUCACCAAAGAUGGAAACAGAGAAUAGAUCCUGAACACCAGGAAGAUGGUGACAAGGUGAUAGAGAAACAGAUGGCACAUUCAAACAAGGACAAUGGAUCUCAUGAUCUCCCCACCAUGCACGUUGUGACCUCCUCCCCCUGCUGACAACAGAUGACCACCUUCAACUGUAACUUUCCACUGCCUACCCAAGUCCUGUAAAGUUGCCCCUCUCCUAUCUCCCUUCGCUGACUCUCUUUUUGGACUCAGCCCACUUGCACCCAAGUGAAUAAACAGC